CAUACUUUAUGAAAGUAUCAAUGCUGUAGGUGGAAGGAAGAGGCUUCCCGCAGGAAGGCGCCAUUGGCCUGUUGCUCCCAUUUCCCUUUGGCUGGAUGUGCAGAAUAUGAAUUGAGUUCUUUAAAAAAUACCCUCAGGCAAACAGAGGCUGCAGAUGAGCCCAGAAUGGCUACAAAGAAUCAACUGGAGGAAAGACUGGACACACACGUAAGGCUCAAGUAUGUUUUUGUUUACGUUCUUCUCACAAGGUCUUUGCACUAGUUUAAGAUACCAGCUAACAAUGAACAGGGUUUAUUCUUAUUUAGAAAAAAGAAAACAAAGGUGACAAGUGAAAUGGGUAUCAGCUGAACCAGAACACCUUACAUUUUUACAAGGUUUUAAAUUUGACCAACCCAACCCUUUUCUGCUCCAUGUAGGUUUUCACAUAUUCGGGAUUGUUAACACAUUUGAGUAGAUUUCACUUGGACUGCACUAAGGCAGUAGUUUCUCAGCUUCUUUGAAAAUAGUCUCACUUGUAUUUCCAUACAGACUAUGAAAAGAAACCAGUGCUUUGGUCACUUCAAACUUAGCUUUGAUUUCUCAAAGAAAUACAAUUAAUAGCUGGAAAGCACUAGAAUAUCUGACUGACUUAGAGCCAAGGAAAAAUACUUAAAAUCCUUUUUUAUUUUAUAAUUAACUGUCGAUGUUGUACCCAGUGGCCUCACUCUUCAACCAACUGUUCUUCCAAAAGGCUAAGUCGUUAAAUUUUAUUUCCUCGACACGUAAUUCUUUGGGCUACUGACUCAGAAACCAUGACCUAAGUAUCAGUAAAUGGCUUUCUUGGCUAACAGACUUUGGCUGUAGCCUCACUUUCAUUUCUUAUUUUUGUGAAGAAAUCACAAUGUGUUAAGAUACUCCAUUUUAAAAUGUCUGUUGCUUUCCCAGUAGUUGGGCGUGUUGUGAUAAGUGCUUGGUCUGCUUAUGUCAACAUAUAUUGUGUUUUUUAGCAGUUAUAGUAUCAUUCCUUGACAAACACAGUAUUUACCAUAUAAUUUGGUAAGAAAAUCCACAUUCCAGUGUGCCUUCAAGGCACAGCAUUCAAAGUGCAGUUUUCUUGUUUUGACAUAAUGAUCUGGUAACAGAAAAAAAAAAGUUUUUGUACAGAUAGACAAAGCACUGCAAAUGCUUUCAUAUCAUAGCUGCAUCACUGAUUGUGUCGCAUACCAAAAGGGAAUGUGAAAUGCUAAGAAAGCCAUAAGCAGUUUCUGUAGCAGCUAGUCAG
RNAcentral lists this long non-coding RNA (1261 nucleotides) under Neogale vison (American mink). Its description in RNAcentral is "Neovison vison (American mink) lncRNA (ENSNVIG00000007332.1)". Lineage: Eukaryota; Metazoa; Chordata; Mammalia; Carnivora; Mustelidae. The record is from RNAcentral.